AACAGCUUCUCUUAGAUUCAACCUGCAAGGAUUACCUGAAAAAUAACAACAAGAGACAACAACAACAACUUUGUUCCUUCGUAUAUUCUCAUAACAUCAACACAACAUCAACUACAUCAACAUGACAUAUCAUUAUACAUGCAACAACAUCAACAUGGUUUCACCAUAUGAUAUUCCAAUAUGAUAUUAAUACCAUUCUAACAACAACACAACAACCAACAUCAUAUAUCAUGGAUUAACAACCAUAGAGUUGCAACACACCAAGAAGUUCAUAUAUCAAUCAUCAAUUUAACAAACAUAAUAAACAUCAUAAAUUCCUAACCCCCAAUUUCAUGAAAUUUCUCCCCAAAGCUAUAACUAAACUAAGAACUCACCUUGAGAUGAUGAAAUAGAGAUGAAGUUGGUGAAAAAGAUGAGAUGAAAUCAUGGUGUUUAUGAUGAUAAUGAUGGCAUCCAUGGCUAUCUUCUUCUUUCUCUUUUCUUCUUCCUUCUAGUUUUCUAUCUUUUUUUCUUUUCCUUUCCUUUCUUUUCUUCUUUCUGAUAUAUCUUCUUUUCUUCUUACCCACUUUUCUUCUCUACCACAUACAUAUAUAUAGUAUAAUAUAUAAUGUGUGGUUAGUAUUUAGAGUUGGUAACAAAAUAUCUCAAUUGAUAUUUUAUCUUCCAGCACCAAUU
RNAcentral lists this long non-coding RNA (675 nucleotides) under Lathyrus oleraceus (garden pea). Its description in RNAcentral is "Pisum sativum (pea) long non-coding RNA (PSAT_LNC030840)". Lineage: Eukaryota; Viridiplantae; Streptophyta; Magnoliopsida; Fabales; Fabaceae. The record is from RNAcentral.